UCUUCAUCUUCUUCUAUAUCACUACUUUUGUCUCUGAAUUUAGCAUCCAUGGCCGACGAUUCCAAGCUUCAUAUUGCUAUGUUCCCAUGGCUAGCCUUGGGUCACAUCAUCCCAUAUUUAGUGCUCUCCAAACUCAUAGCUCAAAAGGGUCAUAAAAUCUCCUUCAUCUCCACUCCUCGAAACAUCCAUCGUCUUCCAAAACUUCCCCCAAACUUAGCCCCUCUCAUCAAUUUCGUUAAGCUUCCACUGCCUCAAGUCGAUGGCCUCCCGGAAGACGCAGAGUCCACCACCGACGUNNNNNNNNNNNNNACCUUAAGAAAGCCUACGAUGGUCUCAAAGAUCCUAUCACCGUUUUCCUUGAAACUUCACGUCCCGAUUGGCUUCUUUAUGAUUUUUCCCCUUAUUGGUUGCCUCGUAUAGCUACUAGUCUUGGCAUUUCAAAUGCCUUCUUCAGUAUACUCUUGGGUGCAGCACUGUGUAACGCGAAGCCGUACUCUGCAAUUGAUGAUCGCACGAAACCAGAAGACUUUACUGUCCCACCAAAGUGGAUUACUUUUCCUACCAAGGUAGUGUUUCGGCUUUUUGAAAUCUCAAGAAUUUUUGAUUCAGUAACAGCUAAUGCGUCCGAAGUUUCCGACUCUUAUCGUAUGGAAGAGGUUUUAAGAGGUUGUGAAAUGAUUGCUGUGAGGAGCUCC
RNAcentral lists this unclassified non-coding RNA (695 nucleotides) under Hevea brasiliensis (rubber tree). Lineage: Eukaryota; Viridiplantae; Streptophyta; Magnoliopsida; Malpighiales; Euphorbiaceae. The record is from RNAcentral.